RNAcentral lists this ribosomal RNA (116 nucleotides) under Castor canadensis (American beaver). The record is from RNAcentral. Lineage: Eukaryota; Metazoa; Chordata; Mammalia; Rodentia; Castoridae.
GUCCAUGGCCAUACCACGUGAAUGCAACCAAUCUUGUCUGAUCUUGGAAGCUAAACAGGAUCCGGCUUGGUGAGUUCUUGAAUGGGAGACUGGAGGGCAGACUCGGAGGUUGGAAU